UACGGAGGGUGCGAGCGUUGUUCGGAAUUACUGGGCGUAAAGAGCGCGUAGGCGGCCAGGUAAGUCAGAUGUGAAAGCCCACGGCUCAACCGUGGAAGUGCAUCUGAAACUGCUUGGCUUGAGUAUGGGAGGGGAAAGUGGAAUUCCUGGUGUAGAGGUGAAAUUCGUAGAUAUCAGGAGGAACACCGGUGGCGAAGGCGACUUUCUGGACCAAUACUGACGCUGAGGCGCGAAAGCGUGGGGAGCAAACAGG
This 253-nucleotide ribosomal RNA is filed under the name uncultured bacterium. RNAcentral describes it as "partial 16S ribosomal RNA". It matches the Rfam family "Bacterial small subunit ribosomal RNA", at positions 524 to 776 of the family's 1533-position model. The record is from RNAcentral.